CAAUAGCGUAUAUUAAAGUUGUUGCAGUUAAAAGCUCGUAGUUGGAUUUCGGUUGAGAACGGCCGGUCCGCCGUUUGGUGUGCACUGGCUGGUCUCAACUUCCUGUAGAGGACGCGCUCUGGGUUAACGCUCGGACGCGGAGUCUACGUGGUUACUUUGAAAAAUUAGAGUGUUCAAAGCGGGCUUACGCUUGAAUAUUUCAGCAUGGAAUAACACUAUAGGACUCCUGUCCUAUUUCGUUGGUCUCGGGACGGGAGUAAUGAUUAAGAGGAACAGUUGGGGCGAUUCGUAUUUCAUUGUCAGAGGUGAAAUUCUUGGAUUUAUGAAAGACGAACUUCUGCGAAGCAAUUUGCCAAGGAAUGUUUUUCAUUAAUCAAGAACGAAAGUGGGGCGUCGAAGACGAUUAGAUACCG
RNAcentral lists this ribosomal RNA (413 nucleotides) under uncultured eukaryote. RNAcentral describes it as "SSU rRNA". It matches the Rfam family "Eukaryotic small subunit ribosomal RNA", at positions 592 to 1017 of the family's 1831-position model. The record is from RNAcentral.